AGAGAAGAAAUUGAUGGGAAAUUUUCCUUUUCAUUUUUCUUUGCUACCAAACAAUGAAUUACAAAAUUACAGUAAGGAAAAAAAAUGAAAAACAAAAACAAAAUAAAAAACUGUACACUUAACAAGAAUGGGGAGAAAGCAGCAGAGGGGGAGAGAUGCUAUGGAAUGAUGACCAACUCCCACACUAAAAGGGGCAGCUGUGAACUAAAAUGAAGAAACCAUCCCAG
RNAcentral lists this long non-coding RNA (227 nucleotides) under Populus trichocarpa (black cottonwood). RNAcentral describes it as "long non-coding RNA (PTRI_LNC004719)". The record is from RNAcentral. Lineage: Eukaryota; Viridiplantae; Streptophyta; Magnoliopsida; Malpighiales; Salicaceae.